UACGAAGGGGGCUAGCGUUGCUCGGAAUUACUGGGCGUAAAGGGCGCGUAGGCGGAUCGUUAAGUCAGAGGUGAAAGCCCAGGGCUCAACCCUGGAAUUGCCUUUGAUACUGGCGAUCUUGAGUACGGGAGAGGUGUGUGGAACUCCGAGUGUAGAGGUGAAAUUCGUAGAUAUUCGGAAGAACACCAGUGGCGAAGGCGACACACUGGCCCGAUACUGACGCUGAGGCACGAAAGCGUGGGGAGCAAACAGG
Molecule: ribosomal RNA, 253 nt
Filed under: uncultured bacterium
Lineage: Bacteria
Description: partial 16S ribosomal RNA
Rfam family: Bacterial small subunit ribosomal RNA
Source: RNAcentral